Small nucleolar RNA from Rhinopithecus bieti (black snub-nosed monkey), 81 nucleotides. NCBI's taxonomy places the organism in Eukaryota, Metazoa, Chordata, Mammalia, Primates, Cercopithecidae. The record is from Ensembl.
UCCUGUGUGAGAAAUGAUGAGGGUCAACAUUCUUCAUAACCAAAGUGAAGACAUGAGAUCCAACUCUGAGCUCACCCUCUU